RNAcentral lists this long non-coding RNA (575 nucleotides) under Mus pahari (shrew mouse). RNAcentral describes it as "predicted gene, 44107 (MGP_PahariEiJ_G0005078.1)". Lineage: Eukaryota; Metazoa; Chordata; Mammalia; Rodentia; Muridae. The record is from RNAcentral.
CUGGCUACCCCUCUACCCCAGAGUCCACCUUUUCUGCUCUGGAAGCUUCCAGAAGCUGUCCUCAAUCAGGUCCAGAAGAGGCAGGCCACUCUCCGAAUGACUCAGUUGACAGGGCUUGAUGUAGUCCAAGAUGGCUCUGACUUGCUGGGUAGGCCAGGAUAGCCUGAACUCUCUCUCUCCCUGGCUCUAACCUCAGAGUGCUGGCAUUGCAGGCGUGCACGGCCAUGUCAUUUUCUUUGACUUUAUACCUUAAACUCAUGACUCAAUUACACGGAGAGCUUCCGGAGCCUCGGGCAGGCAGCCGCAGCACCUGGUUCACCUGGUCCUUUUUCUAAGACUCUGAGAAGGUACAGGGCCAGGAGGGCCUGACUGUGGAAUGACCUCUGCUGGCACGUGUCUUCCAACACUUGGUUCCCAGCUACUGGUGCUGCGGUCUGGGAUGUUGAGGAGACUUGGGUGUGGGGCCUCGCUGGUAAAAUAGGUCACUAGUGGAGAACUCUGCUCUGCUUCUCCACCGUGGUGGACUGAAACCUCGGGGGCUGUGAGAUGAAAUAAACCCUUCUUCCUGUAAGUGG